RNAcentral lists this ribosomal RNA (253 nucleotides) under uncultured Acidobacteriota bacterium. RNAcentral's name for it is "uncultured Acidobacteria bacterium partial 16S ribosomal RNA". It matches the Rfam family "Bacterial small subunit ribosomal RNA", at positions 524 to 776 of the family's 1533-position model. Lineage: Bacteria; Pseudomonadati; Acidobacteriota. The record is from RNAcentral.
UACGUAGGUGGCAAGCGUUGUUCGGAAUUACUGGGCGUAAAGGGCGCGUAGGCGGUUCGGUAAGUCCUGUGUGAAAUCCCUCGGCUCAACUGAGGAACUGCACGGGAGACUGCCGGGCUUGAGUUCGGGAGAGGGAAGCGGAAUUCCGGGUGUAGCGGUGAAAUGCGUAGAUAUCCGGAGGAACACCGGUGGCGAAGGCGGCUUCCUGGACCGACACUGACGCUGAGGCGCGAAAGCUAGGGGAGCAAACGGG